CAGUCGCCGCGGUAAUACGAAGAGGGCUAGCGUUGUUCGGAUUUACUGGGCGUAAAGCGCACGUAGGCGGACUUUUAAGUCAGGGGUGAAAUCCCGGGGCUCAACUCCGGAACUGCCUUUGAUACUGGGAGUCUUGAGUUCGAGAGAGGUGAGUGGAAUUGCGAGUGUAGAGGUGAAAUUCGUAGAUAUUCGCAAGAACACCAGUGGCGAAGGCGGCUUACUGGUCCGGAACUGACGCUGAGGUGCGAAAGCGUGGGGAGCAAACAGGAUUAGAUACCCCUGUAGUCCCUGUCUCUUAUAU
Molecule: ribosomal RNA, 301 nt
Filed under: uncultured bacterium
Lineage: Bacteria
Description: partial 16S ribosomal RNA
Rfam family: Bacterial small subunit ribosomal RNA
Source: RNAcentral